GACGAACGCUGGCGGCGUGCUUAACACAUGCAAGUCGAACGGAAAGGCCCUGCUUUUGUGGGGUGCUCGAGUGGCGAACGGGUGAGUAACACGUGAGUAACCUGCCCUUGACUUUGGGAUAACUUCAGGAAACUGGGGCUAAUACCGGAUAGGAGCUCCUGCUGCAUGGUGGGGGUUGGAAAGUUUCGGCGGUUGGGGAUGGACUCGCGGCUUAUCAGCUUGUUGGUGGGGUAGUGGCUUACCAAGGCUUUGACGGGUAGCCGGCCUGAGAGGGUGACCGGCCACAUUGGGACUGAGAUACGGCCCAGACUCCUACGGGAGGCAGCAGUGGGGAAUAUUGCACGAUGGGCGGAAGCCUGAUGCAGCAACGCCGCGUGCGGGAUGACGGCCUUCGGGUUGUAAACCGCUUUCGACUGUGACGAAGCGUGAGUGACGGUAAUGGGUAAAGAAGCACCGGCUAACUACGUG
This 468-nucleotide ribosomal RNA is filed under the name uncultured bacterium. Its description in RNAcentral is "partial 16S ribosomal RNA". It matches the Rfam family "Bacterial small subunit ribosomal RNA", at positions 28 to 507 of the family's 1533-position model. The record is from RNAcentral.